UCUUCAUUUCGCACACUCUCUCGCCGGUCAGAUAGGCGAGAGAGUGUGUGAAUUGAAGAUA
Pristionchus pacificus is the source of this 61-nucleotide non-coding RNA. NCBI's taxonomy places the organism in Eukaryota, Metazoa, Nematoda, Chromadorea, Rhabditida, Neodiplogasteridae. The record is from Rfam.